RNAcentral lists this unclassified non-coding RNA (171 nucleotides) under rhizosphere metagenome. Its description in RNAcentral is "partial ribosomal RNA internal transcribed spacer region". The record is from RNAcentral.
AAUAAGUGUUUUAUGGCACUUUUUUAAAUCCAUAUCCACCUUGUGUGCAAUGUCAGGGUUGGUCUCUUGAGAUCAGCCCCAAACAUCAACCCAAUCUUAACUCUUUGUCUGAAAAAUAUUAUGAAUAAAACAAUUCAAAAUACAACUUUCAACAACGGAUCUCUUGGCUCU